This 772-nucleotide long non-coding RNA is filed under the name Nicotiana benthamiana. RNAcentral's name for it is "long non-coding RNA (NBEN_LNC038352)". Lineage: Eukaryota; Viridiplantae; Streptophyta; Magnoliopsida; Solanales; Solanaceae. The record is from RNAcentral.
AGAUAUCAGGUUACCCUGACACAAGUUCACCUGUCGUUUUGGAGGAUAGUGUUGAUUAUAAGGUUCUUUAUAGAGAAAGUCAGGCUCGAGUUCACCCUCAGCCAUCUUAUGAUUGUAUCAGCCCUUGUAUUACCGAGGCCUGAUUACUUUAAGACGUCAAUCCACCUUGCUUUUCCUUGGUUUCAUAUUACUUGUUCUUAUCUGCCACAUCAUAUAUUACUAUGUGUUUUCCACGAUUUCUUAUUCCUUGUCACUAUUUAUGCUUAUUACUCAUUGGGUCAGAGUACUCACAUUACUCUCUGCACCUUGCGUGCAGAUCCAGGUGUUCCAGAGGCCGAGUGAGAGUUUUUUCCCGUUGAUCAGCAUUUACCGGAGUUGUCGAGGUUGCUGCAUGGCGUCUGCAGGCCCUAUUUCUCCUUCUAUCUUAUUAUUUUUUUUGCAUUCCUAUACUAUAUAUGUAUUAGGUUGUUAGACCUAUAUUAGAGGCUCUUGACUUGUGAUACUUGAUCGGUGGGCUAUGUAGUAUUAUUAUCUUUUGACUUUCGCAUAUUUAACUUAUUGUUGCAGAUUUUAUUAUGCUAAAUUGGUAUUUAAAUUGCAUUAUCUUAUAAUGAAUAUUUUUUUAAAAGAAGAUGGGUUGUGGUCGAUUGUCAGUCAGCUUGCCUAGAAAUGUGUUAGGCGCCAUCAUGACCAGGGUUGGGGUCGUGACAAAUGUGUAUUACAGCCUAGAUUACAUGGGUCUCGCAAGUCAUAAGCCGGUUUAGUAGUCUUG